CCUACGUGUGGCAGCAGUGAGGAAUAUUGGUCAAUGGCCGGAAGGCUGAACCAGCCAUGCCGCGUGAAGGUCAGUGCCCUAUGGGCGUUAAACUUCUUUUGUGCGGGAGCAAUAAUGGUCACGUGUGGCCAGACGAGAGUACCGUACGAAUAAGCAUCGGCUAACUCCGUGCCAGCAGCCGCGGUAAUACGGGGGAUGCAAGCCUUAUCCGGAUUUUUUGGGUUUAAAGGGUGCGUAGGCUGUGAGGUAAGUCAGCGGUGAAAUGCCUCCGCUCAACGGGGUGAAGUGCCAUUGAAACUGGCAGGCUGGAAUGCGGAUGAGGUGGGAGGAAUGUGUGGUGUAGCGGUGAAAUGCUUAGAUAUCACACAGAACACCGAUUGCGAAGGCAGCUCACGAAUCUGCGAUUGACGCUGAUGCACGAAAGCGUGGGUAUCAAACAGGAUUAGAUACCCGAGUAGUC
RNAcentral lists this ribosomal RNA (460 nucleotides) under uncultured bacterium. RNAcentral's name for it is "partial 16S ribosomal RNA". It matches the Rfam family "Bacterial small subunit ribosomal RNA", at positions 338 to 795 of the family's 1533-position model. The record is from RNAcentral.